AUUGAACGCUGGCGGCAUGCCUUACACAUGCAAGUCGAACGGCAGCGCGGACUUCGGUCUGGCGGCGAGUGGCGAACGGGUGAGUAAUACAUCGGAACGUACCCUGUUGUGGGGGAUAAGUAGUCGAAAGAUUAGCUAAUACCGCAUACGACCUGAGGGUGAAAGUGGGGGACCGGAAACGGCCUCAUGCAGCAGGAGCGGCCGAUGUCUGAUUAGCUAGUUGGUGGGGUAAAGGCCCACCAAGGCGACGAUCAGUAGCUGGUCUGAGAGGACGAUCAGCCACACUGGGACUGAGACACGGCCCAGACUCCUACGGGAGGCAGCAGUGGGGAAUUUUGGACAAUGGGGGCAACCCUGAUCCAGCAAUGCCGCGUGUGUGAAGAAGGCCUUCGGGUUGUAAAGCACUUUUGUCCGGAAAGAAAUCGCGCUGGUUAAUACCUGGCGUGGAUGACGGUACCGGAAGAAUAAGCACCGGCUAACUACGUG
RNAcentral lists this ribosomal RNA (486 nucleotides) under uncultured bacterium. Its description in RNAcentral is "partial 16S ribosomal RNA". It matches the Rfam family "Bacterial small subunit ribosomal RNA", at positions 30 to 507 of the family's 1533-position model. The record is from RNAcentral.